This 708-nucleotide ribosomal RNA is filed under the name Chattonella subsalsa. RNAcentral's name for it is "eukaryotic LSU rRNA". It matches the Rfam family "Eukaryotic large subunit ribosomal RNA", at positions 38 to 664 of the family's 3401-position model. Lineage: Eukaryota; Raphidophyceae; Chattonellales; Chattonellaceae. The record is from RNAcentral.
GCAUAUAACUAAGCGGAGGAAAGAAACCAACUCGGAUUCCCCUAGUAACGGCGAGUGAAGCGGGAAGAGCUCAUGUUGUAAAUCUGGAUGAGGGUUCCUCGUCCCGAAUUGUAGUCUAGAGAUGCGUGCUCAGCUACUCUCCAGGGCUAAGUCUGUUUGUGAAAGACAGUGUCAUGGACGGUGAUAACCCGGUUCUUGCCUUGGAUGUUGUAGCGUUUUGAGCCGUCCUCAACGAGUCGAGUUGCUUGGGAUUGCAGCUCUAAGUGGGUGGUAAAUUCCAUCUAAAGCUAAAUAUUGGUGGGAGACCGAUAGCGAACAAGUACCGUGAGGGAAAGAUGAAAAGAACUUUGAAAAGAGAGUUAAAUAGUACCUGAAACUGCUGAAAGGGAAGCGAAUGAAGUCAGUGUUGCUCUUUGUGCUCUGCAUCCUCCCUGCGGGGAUUGUGUAUCGAGGACUUUGAGCUUGUCAGGAUGAGUUCUCUGCCGCGGGAUAUGUUUUGUAUGCUGGAUGCUUUUUGCGGAACAUACAUUCUCUGUCGUGGCUUGGACUGAGGUUCCAUCUUGCCGUUGCCUGUGCGUUCCUCUCCCGUUGCUGUCUCUGUUCUACUGCUUGCAGUGCUCAGUUGCAGUAGUUGGACUGUGCGUAUUAUGCAUGCAAGGUCAGGAUCCUGACGAAAUGGCUUUAUUUACCCCGUCUUGAAACACGGAA